Molecule: ribosomal RNA, 327 nt
Filed under: uncultured Glomeromycotina
Lineage: Eukaryota; Fungi; Glomeromycota
Description: SSU rRNA
Rfam family: Eukaryotic small subunit ribosomal RNA
Source: RNAcentral
AGCAGCCGCGGUAAUUCCAGCUCCAAUAGCGUAUAUUAAAGUUGUUGCAGUUAAAAAGCUCGUAGUUGAACCUCGGGGUCUACCCAUUGGUCAGGCUUAAUUGUCUGCACUGGUGAGAUGGAUCUCUACCUUCUGAGGAACUUUCAUGCCAUUUAUUUGGUGUGAUGGGAAAUCAGGACUGUUACUUUGAAAAAAUUGGAGUGUUUAAAGCAGACUAUCGUCUGAAUACAUUAGCAUGGAAUAAUGAAAUAGGACGGACUGAUUCUAUUUCGUUAGGUUUCUAGGAUCACCGUAAUGAUUAAUAGGGAUAGUUGGGGGCAUUAGUAU